This 253-nucleotide ribosomal RNA is filed under the name uncultured bacterium. RNAcentral describes it as "partial 16S ribosomal RNA". It matches the Rfam family "Bacterial small subunit ribosomal RNA", at positions 524 to 776 of the family's 1533-position model. The record is from RNAcentral.
UACGUAGGGGGCAAGCGUUGUCCGGAAUCAUUGGGCGUAAAGAGCGUGUAGGCGGCCCGGUCAGCGUGCGGUGAAAGCUCGGGGCUCAACCCCGAGUCGGCCGUGCGAACUGCUGGGCUGGAGCACUGUAGAGGCGGGUGGAAUUCCGGGUGUAGCGGUGGAAUGCGUAGAGAUCCGGAAGAACACCAGUGGCGAAGGCGGCCCGCUGGGCAGUGGCUGACGCUGAAGCGCGACAGCGUGGGGAGCAAACAGG